GCUAUAUAAAACUAUACUUAACACGCUGGAUAAACAAAAUGGAACGGACACCGGGUUCCAGGCGGAACUACCGCAAGAUCCAUUUGCUGAAAUUUUUACUAUUUCUCCAAUAUAUUCUGAAUGGUACUUUUGGGUAUUAACGAUAGCAAUUGGCUGUUCUAUCAUCAUUUUGGUGUUGUCGUGUUUAAUAUGGUGCCGAAAGCCUUAUAAAACCGCAGUUGUCAGACUUUCAGAACCUCUACCAAGCUUAUAUUCAGGAACAGUUUUAGCACCGGAAGGAAUUAUACAGCCUGACGUCACCUUCUACACUCAAGUACAGCCUUGCAAUGGAAAAGAUAAUUCGCCCAAAACUGAUGGAAUUGUAGAACCUAACAGCCGACUACCAACUCCUUGCAAG
This 397-nucleotide unclassified non-coding RNA is filed under the name Stegodyphus dumicola. RNAcentral's name for it is "uncharacterized LOC118192827, transcript variant X1". The record is from RNAcentral. Lineage: Eukaryota; Metazoa; Arthropoda; Arachnida; Araneae; Eresidae.